GGGGGAAAAUUAAUAGAAUUAAAGUUAAUAAAAUAAAUUUUAAAGUUAAAAAUAAAUAAUGGGGGUUAAAGUAUUUUUAAUGGAAAAAAUUUAAAAUUUUAUAGUAAAUUAGUAUAGUAGGGGAAAUUUGAAAUAAUUUAAAAAUUAAUUAAUAGGAAAGAAAAUUUAAUUUAUUGUAUCUUGUGUAUCAGAGUUUAUUAAAUAAAAUUUUUUAAUUAAAAAAAUCUCGAAUUUAAAAGAGUUAAUUAAUUAUAAAAGUUAAUGUAACAUAAUUAUUUUUAAUAAUUAAUUUGAAAUGAGAUGUUAAUCGUUUUUAAAUAUAUCUAGUUAUUUUAGAAAAAAAUUUAAUUUUAAAUUUAAAUAAUUUUAUAAUUUAAUAAAAAAAUUAUAAAAAUUUAUAUUUAAUAUUUUAAGGGAUAAGCUUUAAAUUAAAAGUUUAUAAUAAAAAUUAAUUAAAAUUAAAAUUUUUAAAAUUUAUAUUGUUUAAAAAUUAUAGUUUAUUAUAAAGAAUUUUAUAAAAAAAAUAAAAUUUAAUGGGGGAAAUUUAAAUUUUUAUAAAAUAAUAAUUUUUAAUAGGGGAAAAUUAAUAAUAAUGAUAAAAUUAGUAUAAAUAAUAAUUUUAUUUGUUAAAUACAAAAAUAAAAUUAAUUAAAAGGAAUUCGGCAAAAUAAAAUAUUCACUUGUUUAUCAAAAACAUGUCUUUUUGGGUAUAAUUUAAAGUCUAAUCUGCCCACUGAUUUAUAUUAAAGGGCUGCAGUAUAUUGACUGUACAAAGGUAGCAUAAUCAUUAGUUUUUUAAUUGAAAACUUGUAUGAAGGAUUUGAUGAAAUAUUAACUGUCUCUUAAUUAUUGUUAAAAAUUUAUUUUUUAGUUAAAAAGCUAAAAUAAUUUUAAAAGACGAGAAGACCCUAUAGAGUUUUAUAUUUAGUUAUAUUUUAAAUAUAUAUAUAUAUAUAUUUAAAUUAAUAUUAAAAUAUAAUUGAAUAUUAUAUUGGGGUGAUAGAAAAAUUAAAUUAACUUUUUUUAAAAAUUGACCAUAAAUAAAUGAUUAUAUGAUCCAUUAAUAAUGAUUAUAAGAAAAAAUUACCUUAGGGAUAACAGCGUAAUAUUUUUUUUUAGUUCAGAUAAAAAAAAAAGUUUGCGACCUCGAUGUUGGAUUAAGAUAAAAUUUAAAUGCAAAAGUUUAAAAUUUUGAUCUGUUCGAUCAUUAAAAUCUUACAUGAUCUGAGUUCAAACCGGUGUAAGCCAGGUUGGUUUCUAUCUUUAGGGAAAGAUAAUGUUUUAGUACGAAAGGAUCAAAUAUUAAAAAUAAUUUUAAUAAUAAAGAAUGUUAUUAAUUUAUAUAAAAAUAAAUU
This 1355-nucleotide ribosomal RNA is filed under the name Lethe nigrifascia. RNAcentral describes it as "16S ribosomal RNA". Lineage: Eukaryota; Metazoa; Arthropoda; Insecta; Lepidoptera; Nymphalidae. The record is from RNAcentral.